CAUGCACCGGUGGGGUCCCUCAGCCUGGCCUGUACCCUCUAGCAAUCCGGGACCCUUUGGGGGAUGUCAGACUGCCGGUUUCAGCCAGAUCCCCACAGGCCAGGCUGAGGGACCCCACUGAUGCACG
RNAcentral lists this microRNA precursor (127 nucleotides) under Myotis davidii. RNAcentral describes it as "mir-9193 microRNA precursor family". It matches the Rfam family "mir-9193 microRNA precursor family". The record is from Rfam by way of RNAcentral. Lineage: Eukaryota; Metazoa; Chordata; Mammalia; Chiroptera; Vespertilionidae.